CGGCGAACGGGUGAGUAAUGCUUGGGAAUCUGCCCAUUAGUGGGGAACAACCAGCCGAAAGGUUGGCUAAUACCGCAUACGCCUACGGGGAAAGCGGGGGAUCGCAAGACCUCGCGCUAAUGGAUGAGCCCAAGUCGGAUUAGCUUGUUGGUAGGGUAACGGCCUACCAAGGCGACAAUCCGUAGCUGGUCUGAGAGGACGACCAGCCACACUGGGACUGAGACACGGCCCAG
This 233-nucleotide ribosomal RNA is filed under the name uncultured bacterium. RNAcentral describes it as "partial 16S ribosomal RNA". It matches the Rfam family "Bacterial small subunit ribosomal RNA", at positions 96 to 334 of the family's 1533-position model. The record is from RNAcentral.